CCUACGGGUGGCAGCAGUGAGGAAUAUUGGUCAAUGGACGAGAGUCUGAACCAGCCAAGUAGCGUGAAGGAUAACUGCCCUAUGGGUUGUAAACUUCUUUUAUAUGGGAAUAAAAUGUUCCACGUGUGGGAUUUUGUAUGUACCAUAUGCAUAAGGAUCGGCUAACUCCGUGCCAGCAGCCGCGGUAAUACGGAGGAUCCGAGCGUUAUCCGGAUUUAUUGGGUUUAAAGGGAGCGUAGGUGGAUUGUUAAGUCAGUUGUGAAAGUUUGCGGCUCAACCGUAAAAUUGCAGUUGAAACUGGCAGUCUUGAGUACAGUAGAGGUGGGCGGAAUUCGUGGUGUAGCGGUGAAAUGCUUAGAUAUCACGAAGAACUCCGAUUGCGAAGGCAGUUCACUGGACUGCAACUGACACUGAGGCUCGAAAGUGUGGGUAUCAAACAGGAUUAGAUACCCGGGUAGUC
RNAcentral lists this ribosomal RNA (460 nucleotides) under uncultured bacterium. Its description in RNAcentral is "partial 16S ribosomal RNA". It matches the Rfam family "Bacterial small subunit ribosomal RNA", at positions 338 to 795 of the family's 1533-position model. The record is from RNAcentral.